This 205-nucleotide long non-coding RNA is filed under the name Mytilus galloprovincialis (Mediterranean mussel). Lineage: Eukaryota; Metazoa; Mollusca; Bivalvia; Mytilida; Mytilidae. The record is from RNAcentral.
UGUCUGUUUUUUCUGCUGUCUAGUUAUAACAGUUAGAACUUUUUCUUUCACUUGUCUUCUUUCGUUGACAAUUUUCCAGGUAUUUUCUGACAUCCAUUGCUUGCGGUUUUGUUGGAGAUAGCCGACAGUUUCUUCACAUGCUUGAACAAUAGAAUCUCUGGUCAUUUCCCAUGCUGUGUUGAUGCUAGUUUCGUCAUCAUGUAGA